Molecule: ribosomal RNA, 253 nt
Filed under: uncultured bacterium
Lineage: Bacteria
Description: partial 16S ribosomal RNA
Rfam family: Bacterial small subunit ribosomal RNA
Source: RNAcentral
UACGUAGGGGGCAAGCGUUGUCCGGAAUUAUUGGGCGUAAAGAGCGUGUAGGCGGCUUUGCAAGUCCGUUGUGAAAACUCGAGGCUCAACCUCGAGACGCCGGUGGAAACUGCAAAGCUAGAGUCCGGAGGAGGAGAGUGGAAUUCCUGGUGUAGCGGUGAAAUGCGCAGAUAUCAGGAGGAACACCCGUGGCGAAAGCGGCCCUCUGGGACGGUACUGACGCUGAGACGCGAAAGCGUGGGGAGCAAACAGG